UACGGAGGGUGCAAGCGUUAUCCGGAUUCACUGGGUUUAAAGGGUGCGUAGGUGGGUUGGUAAGUCAGUGGUGAAAUCUCCGAGCUUAACUCGGAAACUGCCAUUGAUACUAUCAAUCUUGAAUCAUCUGGAGGUAAGCGGAAUAUGUCAUGUAGCGGUGAAAUGCUUAGAUAUGACAUAGAACACCAAUUGCGAAGGCAGCUUACUACGGGUGUAUUGACACUGAGGCACGAAAGCGUGGGGGAUCAAAACAGG
Molecule: ribosomal RNA, 255 nt
Filed under: uncultured bacterium
Lineage: Bacteria
Description: partial 16S ribosomal RNA
Rfam family: Bacterial small subunit ribosomal RNA
Source: RNAcentral